This 252-nucleotide ribosomal RNA is filed under the name uncultured bacterium. Its description in RNAcentral is "partial 16S ribosomal RNA". It matches the Rfam family "Bacterial small subunit ribosomal RNA", at positions 524 to 776 of the family's 1533-position model. The record is from RNAcentral.
UACGUAGGGACCAAGCGUUGUUCGGAUUUACUGGGCGUAAAGGGCGCGUAGAGGCGCGGUAAGUCACUUGUGAAAUCUCUGAGCUUAACUCAGAACGGCCAAGUGAUACUGCAGUGCUAGAGUGUGGAAGGGGCAAUCGGAAUUCUUGGUGUAGCGGUGAAAUGCGUAGAUAUCAAGAGGAACACCUGAGGUGAAGACGGGUUGCUGGGCCAACACUGACGCUGAGGCGCGAAAGCCAGGGGAGCAAACGGG